GUGAACAUCGUCUAGUGGUUAGGAUCCUUGAGCGUCACUUAAGGGGCCCGGGUUCGAUUCCCGGUGUUCUCG
Molecule: transfer RNA, 72 nt
Filed under: Sterigmatomyces sp.
Lineage: Eukaryota; Fungi; Basidiomycota; Agaricostilbomycetes; Agaricostilbales; Agaricostilbaceae
Description: tRNA-Asp
Rfam family: tRNA
About the family: Transfer RNA (tRNA) molecules are approximately 80 nucleotides in length.
Source: RNAcentral